GGUGAACGUUGGCGGUGCGUCUAAUACAUGCAAGUCGAGCGAGGCUUCGAGCCGAGCGGCAGACGGCUGAGUAACACGUUGGUAACUACCUCAAACUCAUGGAUAACGCCGAGAAAUCGGUGCUAAUACCGGAUGGUCCCGUAAGGGUAAAGUUUUUACGGUUUGAGAGGUGCCUGCGUCCUAUCAGGUAGUUGGUGAGGUAACGGCUCACCAAGCCUAUGACGGGUAACUGGUCUGAGAGGAUGACCAGUCAGAGGGAAACUGAGACACGGUUCCCACUUCUACGGAAGGCAGCAGUAAAGAAUCUUACACAAUGGACGAAAGUCUGAUGGAGCGACACCGCGUGCAGGAUGAAGGCCCUUGGGUCGUAAACUGCUUUUUUGGGGGAAAAAUUCUGAUUGUACCCUAAGAAUAAGCACCGGCAAAGCACGUG
Molecule: ribosomal RNA, 433 nt
Filed under: uncultured bacterium
Lineage: Bacteria
Description: partial 16S ribosomal RNA
Rfam family: Bacterial small subunit ribosomal RNA
Source: RNAcentral